GACCUGGUAGUUCCUGCCUGCCAGCUGUUGGCUGGCCUUUGUGAAAGUCCCCAAUCUUUGAGCCAAUGCCUUGUGGGCAGGUAUCCAUAUCAUGAGGCCAACUGGCACUGUUGGCACCUUUGUUGGGGAGAUGAGCACAGUGGCUUCGGAUAGUGGUGGCUGAUCCACGCUCCCUACCAGCUGGCAGCUCACACUCAACCUCUGUUUGUCAGGAAGCUGGGGAAUGGCUGAGGCCAAACAUCUGAUGGAGAUACACUUGCGUUUUCACAUGACCUUCACAAAUGGGAUUUCUGUAUUUAAACUGAACACUUUCCACCAGAGAGCUGCCGUGUCUUCAUGUGCACAAGUUUUACGGCCAAGGAAACCCACCGUCAUGUGAUGAGCACACAGGAGCAGGAAAGCAGACAUGGAAUCCCUUCCAGUGUCUGCACAUAACUUGGAGCGUGACUUUCUCUUCCCUGCAGGAAGCAGGUAUCUCUGUAGAGAAUUCUAGGGAAAUAUAGCAUUGAAGAUUUGGUGUGGAUUUGAGGGUCAUUUUGACUGGAAUCUCUCAUGGAAUUUGGGAGAAACUGGCUUGUCUGAGACUAGAGAAUUCUUGGAAUUAGCUCAUCUUUCAUGUGCAAAUCAACUAACAGACCCACCAUGGUGAUAAUUUAUCAACCCCUUUAACUCACCCAUGAAACCAACCCUGAAUGAUGUGGUCCUGUGUCAUGUGUCAGGUCCCUUCAUGUGACACAUCUUCACAGUUUAACCCUAACAUGGACCAAGAAAAAGAAAUCACAUCUGAUAGAAGACACUCUUCCUUUGAUCUAGAACCAUGCUGGGAACUAGUGACGUUGGGAUCCCUGUGGACGGAAGCUGAGACUAUGGCAGCAUACACAGGGUGACAGAAUUCUGAACCAGCCAGGGUCCCAGGACUGAGAGGGGCAAGUGGACAGAGGGCUUCACUCCUAACCAAGAAGAUAUCUACAGUUGACACCCCAUGAAAAGGGAAACCAGUUUUCUCCAACGGAAUCUCACUGGAUGAGUGAUCCGCACUACAGGACAGGGGCCAUGUCCAGCAGUAGAUGGCCAACACAAAUGUCUCAAUGGUGACCUUGAACCUGAGCGUUGUUUGUCCUGCAAACCCACUGAGUUCUACAUGUGGCCUCCAGCGUUAGCUUGGACAUGAGCACCCAGGUUCCAUAUAGGGAAACAACAUGGAGGAAGACAGGAAACGGCUUGCCCUCUGUGGAGGGGUGGGGUUCGCUCUGAUUUCUCUGAAAACAUUUGGAGGAAGAAAGAGCCGGGCCCCAAAGCCAAAAGACAACUUUAACCCUCCACUUGCAGAGCCCAAGGUCAACCAAAGGGCACACAGGCAGUACUGAGACCAGAGGGCCGGCCAGCUUUCUUCUCCAGGCUGCCUCUGAGGCUGCAGACAUCGACAGCAGGAAUCCAGGCCCCAAAAGGCUCACUUGCUGGCCCCAAGGCUGACUGGGUACCUGGAAUUGGUGAAGUGGCCUGAGGUGCCCGGCGGGGCUCAGAGGAGACACUGAUACAGACCCCAGCUCCCACGGCAGCGCCGCCCCUUCUUGAAAUCCAAUUUAGACCAUAUCAAAGUUUUCAUAAAGACAUUCCUGAUACCAUUGUGCUGUAAAUCCUGUCUGAUCCGACCUUCAAAUACUUAUGCAAACUGAAAUAUGUCUGGAAAGAAAUCAAAACAAAACAAAUAUGCCACACCAUCGCUUUGUGGCAGUCACCUCCUUCCUCAUUUGCAUUUCAGCUCAGACCUCUCCAACCCGCUCCCAACUGUUUAGGCCAGUUAAUUAGUCAUAAUUGCAGCGACUGUUUCUCUGCAUGCGAUGAUGGCCUUACAUCUGGAAGCCAGCUUAACCCAGAGUUUUCAGCGUGUGUGAACUGUGUUGGUAGCAUUAUUUUUGUGAAAACUCAUUACAGAUAAGUGCAGUUAGGUUAGCCUCCGUCAAGACCUGCUGUAGCAAUGAUUUGCUUUCUUCAAACGUCUCCAGGUUGGUGUGUUCCAGGAGCUGUGACCUCCUCCUCCGCCUCCACUGUCAUUACAGUGGGCUGUUUUCCCCAGGAGCAUUUUGGGUGAAGCACACUAACUCAGUUUCGGAUGCAGUUUGCUAACGAUAAUUUGCGUCACUUGCAAGUUGUAGCAACAUCGAGAUCUCGUGGUCUAUCUUUUGGAUCACGACACCAUAUAAUUAGAGAGAGUGGGAAAUGGGAAAGGAGGGUGACUGUGAACUCAUAUUACUGCUCUGAAACCAAAAGGAAGGCAAGAGGAAGUGGCUAUUUGUGCUAAGGAUGAACUGCUCUUACAUUCCUACAAAGGAACUUGCAACCUUGCAAAUCUAAAGUGGAAAUAAAUGGUCUUUGUUCUCA
This is a long non-coding RNA of Mesocricetus auratus (golden hamster), 2382 nucleotides long. RefSeq lists it as uncharacterized. The transcript has 7 exons. The record is from RefSeq and is a predicted model, not a curated record. Lineage: Eukaryota; Metazoa; Chordata; Mammalia; Rodentia; Cricetidae.